Molecule: unclassified non-coding RNA, 107 nt
Organism: Chlorocebus sabaeus (green monkey)
Lineage: Eukaryota; Metazoa; Chordata; Mammalia; Primates; Cercopithecidae
Rfam family: Y RNA
About the family: Y RNAs are components of the Ro ribonucleoprotein particle (Ro RNP), in association with Ro60 and La proteins.
Source: Ensembl
GGCUGGUCCAAAUGCAGUAGCAUUUGCAACUAAUUGAUCACAACCAGUUACAGUUUUCUUUGUUCCUUCUCCAGUCCCAUUGCUGGAGAAAAUUUAACUAACCUAAA